Molecule: ribosomal RNA, 636 nt
Filed under: uncultured fungus
Lineage: Eukaryota; Fungi
Description: eukaryotic LSU rRNA
Rfam family: Eukaryotic large subunit ribosomal RNA
Source: RNAcentral
CCCGCUGAACUUAAGCAUAUCAAUAAGCGGAGGAAAAGAAACUAACAAGGAUUCCCCUAGUAACUGCGAGUGAAGCGGGAAAAGCUCAAAUUUAAAAUCUGGCGGCUCUUUGCCGUCCGAGUUGUAAUUUAGAGAAGCGUCUUCCGCGCCGGACCAUGCACAAGUCUCCUGGAAUGGAGCGUCAUAGAGGGUGAGAAUCCCGUCUUUGGCAUGGAUCCCUGGUGCUUCUGUGAUGUGCUCUCGAAGAGUCGAGUUGUUUGGGAAUGCAGCUCAAAAUGGGUGGUGAACUCCAUCUAAAGCUAAAUAUUGGCGAGAGACCGAUAGCGAACAAGUACCGUGAGGGAAAGAUGAAAAGCACUUUGGAAAGAGAGUGAAACAGUACGUGAAAUUGUUGAAAGGGAAACGCUUGAAGUCAGUCGCGUUUGCUUGGACUCAGCCUUACUUCGGUUUGGUGCAUUUCCUUGCAGACGGGCCAGCGUCCAUGUUGUUUGCCGGAGAAGGGGUUGAGGGAAUGUGGCUCCUUCGGGAGUGUUAUAGCCCUCACUCGUAUGCGGGGAGUGAUAUGGAGUGACACAGCACGCUUCGGUGGUGCUUGUGCUGGCAUAAUGGCUUUAAACGACCCGUCUUGAAACACGG